AGGAGAAGAUCUGGAUUACCAAUGAAAUCAUACACAAUCCAACUGUUAAUAAGGUCUUAAAAAAAAUUAAAAUGAAUACUGCUUCUCUAAUAUUUUCAAUUUAGAUAAUUUUUUUUGCCCUGUUGUUUGUUAAGUUGUUCAUUUGUUCUUUUUCGUGGUUAUGGAUUGUAAAGAGUAAAUCUGUAUUGAUGAAACUGUUAUGCUCUUUGCUUCAAUCAUGAUUUGAUCCUUUCAUUAUUAUAUUCUAGUAAAAUGAUUACUGAGGCUCUUAAGUAUACAUGGCAGCGGUUGGAGGAGAUGGCAGUUCAAAAUAUACCUGUUGAGGAAGGAAAGAAGCAAUUUGAUGUGGUAAAUAAGGGUGAUGUUGUGGUUUUGCCUGCAUUUGGGGCUGCAGUUGAAGAAAUGGUGACUCUGAAUAACAAGAAUGUACAGAUUGUUGAUACAACUUGCCCUUGGGUGUCUAAGGUACCCUUAGCUGAGACAGAUCAGCUGCUAUUAUGAUUAUUCAUUUGCCUGUUUAUAUCUUCAAUCCCUCUUCAUGUUACAUAUUAUAUAUAAGUUUUAAAAUUUUUGUGAAGGUCUGGACUUCUGUGGAGAAGCACAAGAAGGGAGACUACACUUCAAUUAUUCACGGUAAAUAUUCUCAUGAGGAAACUGUAGCAACUGCAUCGUUUGCAGGAAAGUAUAUCAUAGUCAAGAAUAUGAAAGAGGUAUGUUCAGAAGGUGGAUUAUAUUCUCUUUUGCGGAGAAUCUGUAGAGCAAUAUUAGGAGAUAUUCAUUCGAAUGUUUUUUUUCAAUUGUGAUUUAAUCCAGGCUGAGUACGUGUGUGAUUACAUUCUUGGGGGUGAACUUAAUGGAUCUAGCUCAACAAAAGAAGCAUUCCUUGAGGUAUGAGUUUUGUCGCUUAUUUGACUGUGAAUGUUGACAAUUUUUGGGGAGUUUUGCAGAUAUUGAUAUAGUUAUUUGCUGGCCUACAGAAAUUCAAGAAAGCUGUUUCAAAAGGGUUUGAUCCAGAUGUUGACCUGGUAAAAGUUGGCAUUGCAAACCAAACUACAAUGCUCAAGGGUGAAACAGAAGAGAUUGGUUAGUUGCACUAAUGCUGAUGUCAACCCAUCUGUUUCCAAGAAAGUUUUGGCUUCUGAUAUUUAAGCAAUUUUCAUUGUUCCAGGAAAACUAGUCGAGAAGACCAUGAUGCGUAAAUUUGGGGUUGAAAAUGUCAAUGAACACUUCAUAAGCUUCAACACAAUUUGUGAUGCUACACAAGUAAUUUCUUUUCCUAACUCAUCGUUUUUCCUUUUCAGAUUUUUAUAAUUUUGUGAGUGAUAGCACUUCCUGUCCACUGCAUGUGUCUUAAUACUCCUAAUAAAAACCUGGAAUGUUGAACUACGAAUGCUAAAGCUAACAACAUGGUUGACCAUUUGUUUUCGAUGACCAAACUGCUCCGCCAGCAAUAUUCAGCCACUGGUUAAACUGCAAGUUGUGUACCAUUUUGUUGUGUUCAGUAAAAUAUAACCUAAUGAUUUUGGAUUCAAUUUUUGCAGGAGCGACAAGAUGCAAUGUAUAAGAUGGUUGAGGAAAAGGUCGAUCUUAUCUUGGUUGUUGGUGGGUGGAACUCGAGCAAUACCUCACACCUUCAAGAGAUUGCAGAAGACCGUGGAAUUCCCUCAUACUGGAUCGAUAGUGAGAAGAGAAUAGGCCCCGGAAACAAAAUAGCAUAUAAAUUGAUGGUAUGUGUGAACAUAUUGAAUUUUACUUGCAUCAACAGAGUAAUUUUCAAGUUUCAAAGUUUCUUUAUUAAUUAUCUGCGCAUCGUUAUCUUGUAAAUAGCAUGGUGAGCUGGUGGAGAAAGAAAAUUGGCUGCCGAACGGCCAGAUCACAAUCGGUAUAACAUCCGGUGCCUCCACCCCAGAUAAGGUAAUUUCUUCUGCAUAAAAUUUCUAAAUAGAUUCUUGCUUACCUUGAUCUGAUUUUUUCAUUCUUGACUUCUAAUUUACCAUGCCAUAACUAAUUACAUCAUUUUCAUCCGCUGGUGGUGAAUUUUAUAAGCUGUUUGAUAAGAUUGUUAUUAUUUUCCUCUGUGUUUUAUCCAGGCUGUUGAAGAGGUCCUUAAAAAGGUAUUCGAGAUCAAGCGUGAAGAAGCCUUGCAAUUAGCGUAAACUGAGGUCCAAACAUACACAUUAUCAAUAAAUUUCGAUGUGAUUGUAUCACUAGAUAUUGUAAAAUUAUAAACACAGCCCUCUGUCGGGUCUUUUAUUAGUGCCCAUCUAAUCUGAAAUUUAUAUUUUUGUGUAAUAUGAAGCUAGAGAUUGCAAUUUCUAACCAGCAGGAUAUUUAUUGUAAAACUCCAAUGAAAUCACAGACAAGAUUGGACAAUUACUGUCUUGUUGAACAAAAGGAGAGUAAAAAGAAUAGCACGCUUCAGAACAAAAGGAGGAAAAAGAGUAGCACGCUUCAUUGAAAAAUUAAGCAUGCCUCCUGUAUCAAUCAAUUGAAAGAAUUUUGUGUACCAACGUCAUCCCCCUGCAGUAAACCUCCUGAUUCGAAUCAUCAAUGAUUUGUGUUUCUUCUGGUAAUGAAAUUUAUCAAUCAUCUACUUUUAACUUUUAUUCAAGUAGUUGCGGAUCUGGAGGACCCUCCAUCGUUUUCAGACGAUCCUCAGCUUCCAAAGCCUGGCAUCAUUUAACAAGUUUAUCAACAGAUUAACUUUGAUUAAAAUUCAGAAGCUAAUGUCAUUCUUGGUACUGAGUCCUGCAGAAUUGUACAUUGAAUUACAGAACCUUAGAGCUUUUGUAAGAGAAACUUAAUUUACCUCUUUCUGCCAGUUAGUUUGAAGCAUCCGAAUCACAAGAACAGUUGUUUGAAAUAGGCAACCGAGCAACAAUCCUGACCAUAUGCCAUUGAUGCCAAGUUUAAAUCCGUAGCCCAGCAAGGCACCCGCAGGAAGUCCGAAGACAUAAUAACACGCUAUGCUUAUCAAUGCAACUAAAAACUGCCAGCCUGCGCCUACGGCCACCCCUGCAAUGUUAAAGAUUUUACGCAAAUAUGAUUUUAGACGCAAAUCUUGUACAACAUUUUUCUGAACUGAAAUGCUUAGACUGAGAAUCUGUCGAGCGUAGUAGCAGUUACCAAGGAGAACCGCUUGGAUGCUGUUGAGGAAGAUUGUUGCAGCUAGAAAAUAUGCAAGCUUUGACGUCUCCCUUAUGAGAAUUGGUUUGUCUGUGAACAAUUUGGGAAACUGGUUCUCGAAUGCCAGAACCAAAAGAGUAAAUAAAAUUCCAAAUGCUGCAGAUGUUAUUACUGACACCGCGAUUGAGAAUUUUGCAGCUUUUGGAUGUCCAGCUCCAAGUUCAUUAGACACCCGCACGCUUCAAGAGAAAUCAGGAUGUACUUUAAUGAAAGCAGCUAGAUAAAUACAUAAGAGAAUGGAUGAUAAAGUUAUGCCUUCUUUUGGGUAACAAAUUACGCACAUUCUCAUGCCUUCAAUGAUUUCAAUCGCAAAACUACUUUCUAAAACAAUGGAAUCAAAUUUUCUUCUACUACUCAAUUGUCAUUUGUUCUACGGUGUCAUUCAGUUAAAAAGUUAUAAAUCACUUAAAAUUAUUCCAAAGAAGCAGUGACUGACCUUAUUGCUGUAUGGAAACCUAAACUUAUCAUCAAAGUCCAUUGUUGCAAGUUCAUGCUGCCAAUUCAAACCAUGAGGAGGAAAAAUGAAAGAGGAUUUAGCAGGCUUAAUACAUAGAAACAUAAGAAAACUCACCAAAUCGAAAUGGCAUCUACUGCAAUUUCUGGAUUGUUUAGCCAUCCUACCAUGAGAAUAACUGCUGUGUAAUACCAAAGCUCCAAGCUGUUUGCACAAACAUGUUGUGUGUGUCAUGUCAAUAACGUGGAAUAUCCUAAAGCUCACUAAAUAACUCAAUUCGAAUAAUUAAUUACCAUAACAUUACAGCUGAUGCAAGUGAGAGUUUCACAAAACUAGCCAAUGACUUGAAAGCCCUCAAAGAAAAGCCUGUCCAAGCAUCUGGGAAACAUCCAGAAGUUACAUAGACUACUAGUCCCACGACCAUAAGCCACAAAGAAAUAUCCCCAGCAAUGGCUGCACCAACAAUUCCGUAAUUGAGCUUUGCCACCAGAAUCCAAUUUAAAAACACAUGAAAUAUCAAUGCUGCCAUCGAAAUCAUAGUCAUGACCCAAACUCUGCUUUGCGAUUGCAGAAAUUUCUGUAUUGGAGAGUUUAUAGCAUAAGCAAACAGUUGCGGAACUAUCCAUUUAGAAUACUUCCCUGCAAGCUCUGAAAUUUCCUUGUCUUGGCUUAGAAGCUUUAAAAAUGGCGUUGCAAAGAUAUAAAAAGGCAUUAGGCACAAAGCUGUGGCGCCGGUAACAAUGAAUGAUCUUUGCAAAUAAAUUCCAAGCAUAUCAAAUCGUCCAGCACCGACAGCCUGACCAGAUAGGGUCUCCAGAGCACUGCCCAUCCCCAGCUAAUUAACACAAAUUACACCCAAAAACAGAACAAUACCGAAAUCAGUUCAAAUUCAAAUGAAAUUUACCAUUUCUUAGAACAGAGUAUUAGCUUUCUAGCAAUCAAUUCUUCAGUUGAUAACCUUUCAAUCUCACAUUUCAUCUCAAGUAUGACUAUCAAUCAAAAUUAUUACUACAAUUUGUCAGAAUUUUUAGAUAUUACAAUCCUGAGUCUAUUAGGAGUCUGAAUUCAUACAUUUCUAUCACAACCCAAGAGCAUAGCUCAAAAUCUACACCAACUAGUGGCCAGACCUUUAUCUCAUACCAACACAGACAUAUAAACACCACUUAUCUAUCACAAUUCACACUCUCAUUACAAGUUUUACAUUCAAUGUUAUAAGUACAAGAUUUCACAGAACAUGUGUGACGAGACGAGUGUUGUAAGUUUUACUUCAUACGCAUUCACAUCGCCCCAAAAAAAAGGGAAAAAAAAUCAUCUAUACAGAAUUUGAAGUAAAUGAUUAGCUACUCACCAUGAUUCCAUAAACAAAGCCUUCAAUGACAUUUUGAACAACGGAGACGGCUGCAAAUUCAACUUCACCCAAAUGACCAACAAAGGCAGCGGUAACGAAGGUGAUAGAGAAUUCAGAUCCUGAGGCUAAAAUCACGGGGCCAGCAAUUUCCCAUAUCUUCUUUGAUUCAUUCCAGCUUCUUUCUCUGAAGUUUUUGUGACUGCCCAAGUCAUCAUCUUGUUCCCUUGUCUUUGUCUCUAUCUCAAAUGUCUGGCUCUUCUCCGCCAUUAAUGCUGCUGUCUCUUCCUCUGUUUCUUCCAUCAAACACCUCUCACCCUCGCUCACAGCCUGUAGUCUUUCUUUUAAUGAGUGUGAGGAUUUGUUUGCAGCUAUUAUUUGUGUGAAGAGUUUAAUAAACACACGUACGUUGCAUGCGCAACUUCCUCAUUUGUACAUUUUUUUCACAAUGAUUUUAAUUUUUAUUCCACAUAUACAAAGGGAGAUUGCCAAUUUCCACUAUUGUUCUUAGGGAAAUGGAUAAACACACCCCCAACGUUUAGGCAAAGGGAUAAAAAUUCCUCUAACGUUUCAAAAAAGACAUUUACACCCCAAUUUAUUAUAAUUUUACCAUUAUACCCUUUUAACAUAUAAAAAAAAUUAUUAGAUUAUCCAAUUUAUCUAUAUAUUGUUAAUAAAACUAUAAAUAGACAAGUUGGAUAUUAUAAAAAAAUUAUAAAUAUACCCCCAUUGCCCAAUUCCUCUAUUUAAAUUUUUAUCAAUAACCAUUUUUUUUAAAUCUAUACACCUAAAAAAAUUGUAAAUAAAUUAUAAUUUUAAAAAUAAAAUUGGUUAUUAAUAACCAAUUUUAUUUAAACUUUAAACUUGUAUAUUUAACAAUUCUCCACAUAUCAAUCAUUUAAACUUGUAUAUUUAUAACUAAUUUUCUAUGUUAUUUAUUAUGGUAUUAAUAACCAAUUUUAUUUACAAUUUUUUUUAAGUGUGUAGAUGUCUUUUUUGAAAAUUGGUUAUUGAUAAAAAUUUAAAUAGAAGAAUGAGGUAAUGAGGGUAUAUUUAUAAUUGUAUUAACAAUAUAUAGACAAAUUGGAUAAUCUAAUAAUUUUUUUUUAUAUGCUAGAAGGGUAUAAUGGUAAAAUUAUAAUAAAUUGGGGCGUACAUGUCUUUUUCGAAAUGUUAAGGGGGUUUUUUGUCCUUUUGUCUAAACGUUGGGGGUGUGUUUGUCCUUUUCCCUUGUUCUUAUUUUUAAAUACACUUUUAUUUAUAUUUAUUAUAAAUUAAAUAAAUCACAAGAAUGGAAAUGAAAAUAAAAAAAUUAAGUAUUAAAAAUAAGAAAUAUAUGUUUUGAUGUAAAAAAAUUAAUAAUAAAAUAUUUUUCUUGUACUUUUUACAUUCAAUUUUAAAAUAUUAUAAAAUAUUUAUUAUAAGAAAAUAUUUACAAAAUAAAAAAGUACGAGAAAAAGUUUAUUAUUAAUUUUUUUGGUUCAUAACAAAAUAUAGAUUUCUUGCUUUUAAUACUUAAUUUUUUAUUUUAAUUUCCAUUUAUGUGAUUUAUUUAAUAUAUAAUAAAUACAAAAAAAGUGUAUUUAAAAAUAAGGAUAAUAUUGUAAACUUAUACUGUCAGUGAAUUAUUGGUUAUUAUAAAAAUAAUAAGGAUAAAUGGUAUAUAUUAAUUACAGUAUGAGAAAAUUUGACAAAUUUUCCAUAUACAAAUGUAUAAAGUUAUUUACCCCUAACUAGCCCUCAAAUUAUAAUUAUUACGAUUUCGUAAUCCAUAUUUUCCAAGUAGAGUCUCACGAAAUCUUUCAUCUUUAUCUUCAAUUACUUAUGAAAACAACUUAAAUUUAUUAUGACCAUUUUUCAUUGGCUGUCCACAAAUUCUAUUAUCAAGAAUCGUGGCCCAGCUAAAUAAUUUUGUUUGGUUAACCGUUUUAGUUUAAAUCCUACAAAAAAUUGAUUUAGACAUCGCUCACACUUCGAUUCUUUUGAAAAAUUAAAUUGUUAGUGAGUAAAACUAUAUUAGGAGUAAAAUUAUAAAUAUAUAUAAUCAAUAAAAUCAUUUAAAAAUCAUCUAGUUAAAUUAUUUGGGACCACUAUACCUUAAUUAAUAAAUGUAAUCUAAUUUUAAAUUUAUAUCUUAAAAUGUGCGUACGUUUAAUAAACAUAUUUGGAGGUGUUUAGUUUAUGAAAAGAUGGUUGGUAGAAAUUUAUCAAGGACAAUGACAGGUAUCUAUAAGUUGGUAUCAUUAAAAGCUCCUUGAUUUGAAAAUUCAAACUUGGUAAGCUGUGAAUUCAAUUUUAUAACAAACAGUGAAUUUAUUAAGUGGGUACUUGAAAUCGGUUGGUUACUUUCUUUUUCGGUGCAACAUUGUUGGAUACAGAGCUUUUCUAAGCUAUAUCCACUUCUCAUUGUAAAAACUUAAGUUUUUAUUUUAUUUUAUUUUAAUUUUUUUAAUGUUUUCGUUCCUUUAUUAACCCAGCAUAAAAAAAAAGUGAGAAUGUCAAAUGAAAACUUAAGGUAUCAAGAAUGAAAAAUUUUAAAAGCAAAAGUUAUUUCAACAGAGAAUGAGAGAUGGCUGAAGCAUUUUUUUUCAAGUCUUGGCCAACUGUUAUUUGAUUCAUUGUAACAUAGUGGGAUUUGCCCUUAUGAAAUUGUUACUCAAGUUGGUGAUGAAGGAAUAAUCGUGAUAAGAAUAAAGCAAAAAGAGAAACGUAAUCAUAAAGAAUGGUAUAGUAUUCUAUUAAUCUUUCUGUCUUGAAGUUCAAAGAAUAAUGUAUGGUCAGUAUAAUAUUUGAUGAAUAAUAAUAAAGCUGGAAAUAAGGAAUACAAAUCAUAUAAUCUCAACACUAGGAUUUUUGAACUCAUAAACAACCAGAUAUUUUAUGCUUGCAAGUAUAAUUUCAACUCCUCUGCCAUACUGUUGAUUCUGUUGAUGAAUUGAGUUGCGAUCGCAGUGCUUCUUGCUUGUUUCUCAUAGAACCAAUAAUGAAUUAUACUUCCAAAAAUCGCAACUUCACCUGUGUAUGAGAUAAAAAACUGAUGCAAGUUGUGAGCAUUAGAGCACCAAAACCAGCAUACACGAUUGGUACUCAAGGGUCAGUCUGAAAGCAACCAACAAGGAUUCAUUCUAGUGUAAUUAAUUUAUAAAAUAGAUACAAUUACAAAUUGUAUUGUAUGCAUUAAAUUAAAAGUUAACUUCAGGUCAAGACCAGUACUCCCGAUAGCAUCUACAAUAACAAUUUUUGUGCCAUCAAUGUCAAUUGCAAGCUUAGAGUUAGGUCGUCUGACUCCUGCGAAUUUCCCUUCUUGUUCAUAUAUGACUAAUGAUUGCAGAUCACGAGCAAGCAUUGAUCUAAAAUUAAACAAGAUGGAAGAACAAACUACGCGCUCACUGAACUUCAAAAUUAUAGAGGAAGGAAAAGUAAGUACUGAAUUCUUGCCUAAAAUGUAAGUGUGAAAGAAAUACAUACCUUCCCUCCACAUUAGAAGAAUUAACAUCUCCAAGAGGUAAGAAAGUCCCAAACAGCUUUUUGUCUCCAUUGACUUUUAGAGGUGCCAUUGCCAAAUUGAAAGGUCCUUCAUCAUUCUUAAGUACCUGCAGUGCCGAAAAACUCCAAACCGUCUGAUAUAUCGUGAUCCCACCAUACCUUGAAGGGGCAAUUACACUUAUUGUUUUCUUCAUCACCUCCUUCCCCUCAAUGUCAAAUAGAGAAAGAUCACUGCGAAACUGCUUCACCAGUAAACCGGAAGAAAAACUUAAAAUGAAAGUAAAACAUCACAUUUGAACCAAAGAAUUUUUGGAGUUUCACAAGUUGGAUAAAAAAAGAAAUGAUAGUUAGCAGCAAAUCUUUAUGAAGAUCUUGAUCAGACCAUGCUUAUAAUGCACAAUACGUACCUAGAACUCCUUAUAAGGUCCCCCUUCCUUUAUGCUAGUUACUAGACAAGAAAAUUGAAACUCACCUCUCCACUAUCGUAGUGAUCCAUGUAGAAUUUAUUGACAUGAACCUCAGUGCUGAAAGCAUCAGUAGGAGUAGAAAGAAAUCCAUUUGGGCCUAACACUCACCCACGACAAAAUUCAGCACUUCUGGAAUCGUAACGGAACUCCUGAAGCUCCCAAUUGCAGUAGGAGUUCCACCUACCAUUGUCAGCAGCAUCGCCAAAUGUACUCCAAUAGGGGCAAAACCGACCAACGAGUGCUUUAAAGGCAUACAAGGACGGUCCUUUCAAGAGUACCUGUAAUCGCAAAAGGCAAGCAUAAUCAGCAGGAAAUCUUGCAUAUAAUGCAGCAAUGUACGAGGAACAAAAAUGAUAUGAGUGCUUAUUAUUGAAAAAAAAAAGUUACAGUCAAUGCACUAUGCAUUUAAGUGAGACAUUAGGAAUAUAAUUGAUUUUGUUCAAACAUAAAUUGGUCUGUCAUGAUGACUGCUGGUACCUAAAAUAAGUUUGUCAGUACCUGUUGAUGACUCAAAUACUAUUUAAUCUCCAAGGAACUUAGACUUUACAAGUAUUAACAAGUGAAAUCUCAAUUUCAUGAGUGUCAAUGAAUAAUGCUGUUAAAAAAGCAAGUCUACCCAGAAAAAGAACAUCAAAUAUUAUUUUUGCACUGAAUUGGUCUAUACAUAAAAAGUUUGGCAACUAAGACAAUUUUAAGUUUUAAAGAGUAAGAACAGAUGAAAGAAAACAAAAAAAGAAAGGAUGCAAAAUGACAACCUCAUAUCCUGCACCCAUUAGAAUAACACCGAAAAGUAAGAAAGGAUGCAAAAUGAUAAUCUCAUAUCCUGCAUCCAUUAGAAUAACACCCAAAUCUUGAAGAGAUGGUCUCGGAAGAGUACUUGAAAAUUCCUACUUUUCAGAUUGCCUCGGUAGAAUGUAAAAAACUCUAUCCGCAUAAAUUACAGAGUUGUGUCAACAGAAAGCUUAUCCAAAUCAUUUCCAUUGUAGCAAAGGAUUUUGGUAGAAUAACCAGACCUUUUUGCAACCUUAAUCAGGGUGAUUUGUGUAAUGUAACUGCAGGCCAUGAGUGAUAAUCCCAUUAUUUUGCCUCAAGUGAUAGAAUUCAACGGAUCAAAACCUGCGUAGGAUAGCUAGGUCUUAACCUUUGAACAUUCUCUUGUGAAAUAUAUUUACUUUACUAACUAAUUAGUAGAUGCGAUAUCUUUGAACUAUCAUGUCGUUUAUGUAAAUAAUAGUAUAUUUCACACAUAAGUUUUUCCUAAUACUUUUGAGUUCUCAUGGUUACGUUCAUUUUGGUGAUGAACAUCUACUUGGUUCCACAAGAAUUUAUAAGAAUUGAGCCAUAAACAAUUCCCUUUGAAGUUGCCUCACUUCUCUCUUAUAUUUGUGAUUUUUUAAAUCAAAAGUAGCCUUUACUUUGCUUGGAUUCCCAACACAUAAGAAGCCAUUAAAAGGAUAGCAUACCUUUUCUUUCUACAGGCAUCAUUAUUUUCAUCAUAGGGAUGGACAUGAGGCUAAUCCCUGCAGUGAUCCAACAAGGUAUUUUAUAAUUAAAUUGUCCCUUUGAACCUAGUUCUCGGUAUCUCCAGUCAGUUAAGUUGGGUUUUCUUUCAUAAAAUAAACAUUUUAUUCUUCAGGCUUUAGUCUCAUUCCCCUCAAUGUUUUUUUCUACUAACUAUCUAUUUAACACUUUGGUUAGUGGAUCUGCAAUGUUAUCCUUUGACUUUAUAUAGUCAAUAGAAAUAACUCUAGUAUAGAGUAGUUAUCUAAUGGUGUUAUGUCUAUGACGUAUAUAUCUAGACUUAUCGUUAUACAUAUUGCUACGUUCCCUUCCAAUUAUGGAUUAACUAUCACAAUAUAUGCAAAUUGCUGGUACAAGCUUUACCCAUUUUGGAAUAUCAUUUAAAAAAUUCCCUAGCCAUUCUGCCUCUUUACCACAUUUUUCUAAUGCGAUGAAUUCAUAUUCCAUUAUUGACUUGGCUAUCAUUGUUUAUUUGGAUGAUUUUCAUGAAACGACAACACCUGCUAGUUUAAACACGUAGCCACUGGUAGACUUUGAGUCUUUCACAUCAAAUAUCCAGUUUGCAUCAUUGUACCCUUCUGGUAUAACUAGAUAAUAGUAUAAUGUAGCUCAUAUUUACGAGUAUAGUGUAAGCAUAUGAGUACUCUUACUAUAGCUUUCCAGUGAUCGGCAAUUGGAUUACUCAUAUAGCUAGUAAGUUUGCUUACUGUAUAAACUAAGUUUGGCCUUAUACAACUUGUUAGGUACAUCAGACUGUUUAUCACUCUACAUUCUUCCACUUGAGAGAACCUUCACCUCUAUUCGUAGAUAGAUGCAAACUUGUAUCCAGAGGUGUUCUUGGCCCAACAUAAUCUUCUUUGUUGAAUUUUCUAAGAAUUUUAUCCAUAUAAUGUGAUUGAUUCAGAAUAAGUUUUUUAGACGUCUUUCAAAUUUUUAUUCCCAAAAUGACAUUUGCUAGAGCCGUGUUUUUCAUGUCAAAACUAGACUUCAACAUAUUAUUGGUAAAUAUGAUCAUUUUGUCAUCACUCCCAACAAUUAACAUUUCAUCAACGUAAAGACAUAAAAUGACAUAGCCAUUUUCUACCUUUUUGAUGUAUAUAUAUAUAUAUAUAUAUAUAUACAUACAUUAUAAAUGUUCAAAUCUAGAAUUUUAAAGUGUAGGAACGUCCGAGAAAAUAUAUAAAUCGUACGGUUUAAGCGCUUUAUUUCAUAUAUAUAUAUAUAUAUAUAAAAUGAGCCUCUUGUUCACUAUCUUGAAUUUCUUCUUGUUCUUGGUCCUCACUAUCUUCGUUGAUAGCCUCAUGUGUUUGUUUAAUCAAACUUGAAUCUUUCUUGAAUUUACAUGGAAACACAUGCUCAAAGAAUGAUGCAAUUUUGGAUUUUAUUAUUGUAUUCUUAUAAAUAUCUAGUGUGAUAUGCACUACUAUUAUGUGAAUAACUUAUGAAAAUGCAAUCAACAGUCUUUAUUUAUGUCUUUUUUUCUCUUUUUAUGAAGGAAUGACAACUUUAGCAAGACACCCCUACACUUGCAAGUAUUUGUAGGAAAAUACUCUACUCUUCUAUAGUUCAUACGAGUCUUUUUUGCUUCUUUUUAGGGUACCUUUUUAAAAGGAUAAAACAACUUCUCCCCACAUAUUCUUAGGUAUCCCAAAACUUAUUAAUAUUGCAUUCAUAAUUUUUUUGAAGGUAUGAUUUUUUCGUUUAGUAAUCUCAUUAAAUUAAGGCGACUAAGGAGCUGUAGUUUGAUGUAUGAUUCCAUAUUACUCAGAAAGUGACUUAAAUAGAAUAAUAUACUCACCACCUCUAUCAAUUCUCAACUCCUUAAUUUCCUUAUAUAGUUUAUUCUCAACUUCAUUUUUAUAGAGCAUAAAUUUCUCUAUAGCUUUGUUCUUGCUUUUUAUAUAUAGGUAAUAAAAUAUUUAUUACCGCACCUCGAUUCUAUGGAUUUAAAAUCAUAAUCACUAUGUAUUAAGCCAAGUUUCAAUUCCUUGAAAUGAUAACCUUAUUCAUUUUGUUUCAAUAGAAAAGUCACACUUAUGUUUCGUACCAAUUCGGAAAGUGGGUAUAUGAUUCAUGUUAAUUAACUUAUGCAAGGCAUUAUAAUUAACAUAUCCUAAUCUAUCAUGCCAUAAAUUAGAAAACUCAAGAAAAUAAGCAAAAGAAAUAGCUUUAUUAUUCUUUGUUUUUACAACUAUUACAUUCAAUUUGAACAGCCCAUCAAGUACGUAUCAUUUUCCCAUAUACAAUCCAUUUUUAGGCAAAAUUAUUUUAUCUGACUCGAACACCAUUCGGAAUCCAUACUUGUUUAAAAGCAAUCCAGAUACGAGAUUCUUGUGAAUUUCUAGCACGUACAAAACAUUGUUUAGAAUUACCUCUUUUCUAGAAGUCAUCUUUAGAAUCAUUUGUCUUUGACCUUCUAUCUCAAGCGUGGUUGAAUUCUCUAUAUAUAGCUUUUCACCUUUUCUAUUACAUUCAAAGAAAAUAAACAUUUCUUUUAUCUGAGCAUACAUGUCAAAUGGCAACAGUGUCAAUCCACUAUCUCUUAGAUUGAAGUGCACCAGAUCUACUUCAAAAACUACUCUAGAAAGAUUAAUGUCUAACAUAUCUUUUGACAUGUCCUCUACCAAAUUAGUUUCUCGAUGUCCCUUUUUCUUUGGCAAUCCACAUUCCAAAGCCUUGUGAUUCAUUUUAUCAUAGUUGAAGCAUUUCCUUUGAAAUUUGGUUUGCUUAUUGGAAAUCCAUCCUUUCGCACCUAGCUUGUUCUUGUUGGCCUUUCUAUUCCUAGUACUUUGACUACAUUCUAUAGCAUUGGCCUUAACCAUAGAAAUGACAAAUUUUUUUUUUUCAGUUGCUUCUUCAGCUUAAAGUUUGAUAAUUAGAUAUUUAAAAUUCAUUUCCUUUCUUUUAUGCUUUAGAUAACUCUUGAAAUUUUUUCAUGUUGGAGGCAGUGAGAGCAGCCACUUAAAAGUUUCAUUGAAAUCCAUCCCUUUGGGAUAAAUUUCUGCUAGAAUAAUUUGCUUGUCUUGAACUUGAUUUGUAACAAUUUUGAAGCCCAUUAUCUAAUAAUCUAGGAAGCAGCCUAUGACAUGACAAAUUUCUUAGUACUAGCAUCCUCAGUUUAUAUUUUCGCUCUAACGACUCCUAUAGCUCAGUGGCUUUUUUCUUUCCAACAUACACACUAUGUAAAGAAUUGCUCAAAGCCAUUCAACAUAUAAUUUCUACAAAGAAAAUUGGAAUGAUUCCAAGCAUUUAUUGCAGUAAUAAGAAUCUUCCAAGAUUUAAGGUGGUCAAGUAAAAGAAAAUUUUUUAUUGUUACCAUUUGAAGUUCUUUUAGUGAAUUUCUUAGGUUUUUUGCAUGAAGAAUAACUACAGAGACAACAGCACCAGUGCCAACACUAGCACACGAGAUAGUAGGAAGAGGGUCAAAAUUUCUCGUUUGCUAGCCCAUAUUAGUUGCCAUUUCAACAAAUAAAAUCUAUUAUAAGAUUAUUGUGUGUGUUAUUAUUAAUUAGCAAGCAAUAUAAGACUACCCACUUUGUAUGCAAAAAUAUACUAGUUAGGUUCUUAGAAAAAACUAGAGGGAUGAUAGUGGUUCCGCUUAAAAGCCAAACUCCUUGGGUAAUCUAUAUAGCCUUGAUGAUAAAACUUUUCUAAUGUACUUAAGAUUACUAAUAAGUCUCUUACACACCUAUCACAAUUUUAUAAUAUUAAUAAUAAAUUAAAUUGAAAUAGCAAAUAUAUAACAUAUAAAUCAACAAUGCCUAUAAAGAUAUAGUGUCCUUAAAAAAGAUUCGUCACUUUCGCAAUGGCGUUUAAUUAGAUUGGUGUAUGUGUCCCAAAAUACAAUGGAUCUAAAUAGUGUUGACAACAUAACGCCACUAUUCUAGCGAACUUUCAACAAAUAUUUGAAUUCUGUCACACUGAAGUCCAAAACUAGAAAUUAUUUGCUUAAGAGAGAAGAAUAAGAAUCACUUGGAUUUUUGGUGUAUUUUGCAAGUGAACACAAAAGCCAAUAUAUAUAGGUUUCAAAGGACAACUUUAGUUAGUUAAAAUUCUAUGUGGGAUUUUUUUGCAUUUCCCCAAACCAAUAAGUGCUUUUUAAGAUAAGUGCUUUUUAAGAUUCAAUUUCUGAUUCACUCAAACACCAAUUUGAGCAUAUAUGAUUUGUUGAAAACUUCACAGAGAAGAUUUCGAAUUAUCCAUGUAACUAUAUUUGUUUAAUAUUUAUUUUCUCAAAAUUGGUCUCAGAGUAGCUACCUUGUGCUAUUUUUUCUAACAAAUAUAAGUCCAACUCUGCCCAUUAACCCAUCAGAUUAAUGAGACCUUGCCAUUAAGCCAUCAAAAUGGUGAGGAGACCAGCUCUUCCCAUUAACUUAUCAAAAUAAUGAAGUUAGAGUUUUUCCUCAGAAAUUUCAUGAACUGAUAUCAAGUGUUUUCAAAGAAUCUAGAUUUCUCAAAAGAAGUUAGUAACUCACCCAAAAAUCCAUUACAAAAAAGGUAUAGAUCAUUGAGCUUGGUAAGUUUAACUUCCAAGUGAACAUGGAAUUUUUCCUUAAAAAGAGGAGAAUCUUAUAUCCAAGUAGGAUAAUGAUCCAAUAAUUUAUAUUUAAGGAAUUUUACUUGAAAACUUGGUAAAUGAAAGUCCCAAUCUCCAAGCAAAAUCCCUUUCUGAAAUUCUGGCAAGUAUACAGAGUGAUCUACAUUGAACAUAAGAUCAAGACAUUGAAGGUUGAGCAAUUGAAAAAUCUCUUCAGGAAAUUCACCUUGCAAAGAACAUUCACUGAGAGAUAAGUAAAUCAAAGAAGAUAAAUUUGCCAUUGCUGGAGUAACUGCAGAAGAAAUAUCGAUAUCGAUAAGGUAAAGUGCACUCAUGUUGGUCAACUUCUUAGCUAGAUUUUGUUAGACCUGGCUUUUGGACCUCCAUCUUGGAGAGCUCUAGCAACUCUGUUGGUACUUGACCUAAAAAGAAAGACAGAGAGAGAUCCAGAGAUGUUAGCUUCGAAAGUUUCAGGAUUUGAGAUGGAAUUUUACAUAGAAGGAAUGUAAAAUUGAUAGAACCAUAGAGGCAACUACUAGUGAGUUUAGCAUGAUCACAUGACCAGUGUCCUAAUGAUCACAUUCGAUGCCAUCCCAUGACCAACAGUCAGUAACAUUUCCUUCCUCCUGGCACCAGGAUUCAACCUUGGUAUAAGCUUAAGGAUAAGCAGAAACAAAGUUAUCAAUCACAAGGCUUUGUUUGAAUUGCAAUAAGGCAGAACGCUCAUCAUUACGGCACUGUCGGUGCAAAUGAGCACGAUAAUAACUAAUAAGAUAAAACAAUGAGAGCAAAACAAUUGCAUGCAUGCAAUUGAAGUGAGAUGAGAAUAACCCCCAUAAUGCUUUUAACACAAUAGGAUAUGAAAGCUUUCAGGAAUUUUCUUUAUAGGCCAUGCAUGGAACUGAGAUGAGGUUUAUAUCGGCAGUUCCAAGUGCAUCUAUUUUCUCCAAGUCAAUCUAGUUUCUUUUUCCACUAAUGUGAGCAGGUAUAAAUUCAAUAUAUUUUGUUUCCACUCAAGAAAUUUUGCCAACUAAAUUAUUGGCACCUAUAUAUAUUUGGGGUGGGUAAAAGGCUGAGCCGAAGCGAAAGUGUUUUAGAUAAAAAAAAAAAAAUUUUAUUUUUAGUAGUAAAAUAUAAAUUUACGAAUGCUUUAUGAUCAGUUAUGUUGCAGUAUAAGCUAGUUCUUAAAAAAAAAAAAAAUUUACAGUGUAAUUGAAUACGUGUCAGUUUUGAUAAUUUUUAAGAACAAUAAUAUCGAAUAUGAAUCUUCAUGCAAUUAAAUGUGUUGUAUCAUAAUCAUAAAAAGCGGAAUAUUUAACCCAACAAGAUUCAAACAUUUGAUACGUUAUUGUUAUUGGAGGAUACAAAUGUUGCUAAUCCCAAAAAAAGCCCCUAAACUUAUUUCUCUCUUUUUAACGUUUAACGAACUUUGGAUCUCGCGGGAAAAUCCCUCCAACGUGGCGACCUACAAUUGGCUACUCUACGUGUUUGAUUAAAGUCCGAUUCUAAUUUUGAGUUCUUGUGAGAUUUGACGAAAGAACUCAUCAUGUUAAGUAUGUCUUAGGAUUUAAUAUAGAUAAGGAAUCCUAGUCCUUGAAUGCUGCGGCCGGCAAGCAAAAGCAACGUGUUUCAUCAUCAUUGGCUCGACUACUAUAGCAAAGAACAAAGGACACAAACACUAUAAAUAGCUCGCCCCUUCAAGCUCGUUUCGCUCCACUUGAAAACAGAGAAAGCAGAGGAAACGCUUCAUAAAAGCAGCCAAAAAACAAAUCCAGAGAGAAAGCACGCGCAAAAGCAAGCAAAACAAUGAAGAUCAAGAACAAAGCAUUAGCUAUCUUUUUUCUCUUUGCUUUGCGUAAGAACUUUCCUCUUUCUGUUCUGCUAGAAGAAACCUUUAUCAUCGUAUUUGGUUUUGUUUAUGCUCUGUUCUUUUGGCCGAAUUUUACUCUUUUUUUUUUUUUUUUUUUUUCAGAUUUCUCGUCAGGUUUAGCUGCAGCGGAUGAUACUACAACGAAGCUAAAGACGGUGAUUGGCAUUGAUCUAGGGACUACGUAUUCUUGUGUGGGUGUAUACAGAAACGAUCAUGUAGAGAUUAUAGCGAACGACCAAGGCAACAGAAUCACCCCGUCAUGGGUUGCAUUCACUGAUACUGAACGUCUGAUUGGGGAAGCCGCCAAAAAUCAAGCGGCCCUCAACCCAGAGCGUACGAUCUUUGAUGUUAAGCGCCUCAUCGGGGGAAAGUAAGCAGUCACACUCCCUGUUUUAGUUUACGAUAGUUUAUUGUUGGUGUGUGUUUGGAGGCGAUUUUGUGCUUGUCUGGUAAUAGAGUUAAAGCUGUUUUUAAGUAAUUCUCUAAAAAAGCACUUUUAAACUCGCUUGUUUGCUUUUGAUGCUGUAGGUUUGAUGAUCCUGAGGUGCAAAGAGAUAUAAAGUUCUUGCCUUAUAAGGUUGUGAACAAAGGUGGCAAGCCUUAUAUUCAAGUGAAAGUGAAAGGAGAGACCAAGGUCUUUAGCCCUGAGGAGAUCAGUGCUAUGGUGCUUCAAAAGAUGAAGGAAACAGCUGAGGCAUUCUUGGGGAAGAAAAUUAAAGACGCUGUCGUUACCGUUCCAGGUACAUAUACAUAUUACCGUUCUUGUUCUGUACUGUUUGCAUAUCUUGUAUUGUAGUCUAAUGGGUGUUUUUUUUGAUUGUUGAUUUAGCUUAUUUCAAUGACGCGCAAAGGCAGGCAACGAAGGAUGCAGGGGUCAUAGCCGGGCUCAAUGUUGCUCGGAUAAUCAAUGAGCCCACAGCCGCGGCUAUUGCCUAUGGUCUCGACAAGAAAGAGGGAGAGAAGAACAUUUUGGUCUAUGAUCUUGGUGGUGGUACAUUUGACGUUAGUAUCUUGAAUAUUGACGAUGGUGUGUUUGAGGUUCGUGCCACUCGCGGAGACACUCACUUGGGAGGAGAGGACUUCGAUCACCGAGUCAUGGACCAUUUCAUUAAGUUGAUAAAGAAAAAGUACAGCAGAGAUAUAAGCAAGGACAACAAGGCUCUUGGGAAGCUUCGAAGGGAAUGUGAGAGGGCCAAGAGAGCUCUGAGCAGCCAGCACCAAGUGAGAGUGGAGAUAGAGUCACUCGUUGACGGUGUUGAUUUCUCGGAGCCAUUGACAAGAGCAAGAUUUGAAGAGUUGAACGUGGACUUGUUUAAGAAGACAAUGGGUCCUGUGAAGAAGGCAUUGGAAGAUGCUCGAUUGAAGAAAACUGACAUUGACGAGAUUGUACUUGUCGGAGGAAGUACUCGUAUCCCCAAGAUUCAGCAAUUGUUGAAGGACUUGUUUGAUGGGAAGGAGCCUAACAAGGGAGUCAAUCCAGAUGAAGCUGUUGCAUAUGGCGCAACAGUUCAAGGUGGGAUUCUUAGCGGCGAAGGGGGUAAAGGUAAAACAUCCACUAUUCUUUUUUUAAUCUUUUCUUUUAUCAGGAUGCAAUUGAAUAAUUAGAAUAGCAAAGUAUAAAAAGCUUUUUGUUUGUUACAGACCUGCUUUUGCUCGAUGCGACCUCCUUGAGUCUUGGUAUUGAAACUGUGGGUGGUGUCAUGACCACGCUGAUUCCCCGGAACACUGGUAUCCCCACUAAGAAAUCUCAGGUUUUUUCCACUUACCAAGACCAGCAAAGCACAGUGACUAUUAAGGUAUAACAAGUGAUGAGCAUGAUUACAUACGUGGCUAAACUGAUGCUGCACAUUCAUUCUUUCUACUUUUGGACUAACAUAAAAAUUAAAAUUCAGGUGUACGAAGGUGAAAGAAGCUUGACAAAGGGUUGUCACGAGCUUGGACGAUUCGAUCUAUCUGGCAUUCCACCUGCUCCAAGGUAAAUUACAUUUCAAUAUAUGCAUUCGAUUGGUUGAAGAUUGAUCUGGAUACUUAACAUGUUCUAAAUGUUGUUACAGGGGAGUUCCUCAAAUUCAGGUCACAUUUGAUGUUGAUGCCAAUGGUAUCCUACAUGUGACAGCUGAAGACAAGGCAGCGAAGAACAAGCAAUCCAUCACCAUAACCAAUGAUAAGGGCCGUUUCAGCGAGGAAGAGAUUCAAAGGAUGGUGAAGGAGGCUGAGGAAUACGCGGAGGAGGAUAAGAAUGCGAGGGAGAGGAUUGAUUCCAGGAACAAGUUGGAAAGUUACAUCUACAACAUGAGGAGCACCAUCAACGAAAAAGAUAAUAAUAAGCUUGCUGACAAGAUCGAUUCUGAUGAUAAGGAGAAGAUCGAGAGCACACUGAAGGAAGCUCUUGAAUGGUUGGAUGACAAUCAGAAUGCCGAGAAGGAUGAUUUUGAUGAGAAGCUGAAGGAGGUGGAAGCUGUAUGCAAUCCUGUGAUCAAAGAGGUUUAUGAGCUAAUGAAAUGAUGCGUGCAUGUUUUGGAAUUCAAGGUCAGCCUUAUAAUUAUUAUUAAUAUUUAUAAGCUUAGUAGCAAUUUCUUUUGUUGCCUUUUUAUUUUUUGUUUAUUUUGCCAUGUUGUCAACUAAUUUCCCAGAGAUACCAUAAAUGUUAUUCUAAUAGUUACCAUCAAUUUUUCUGAAAUGACUUUUAAUUGUUUAAAUCUAUUUGUGAUUGUAUUGAUUUCUUAUAUUUACAAGCACAUAACAAUAUUGAACCAAAAUGUUAUUAAGAAUUCUGAUGCCUUUACAAAAAAAAAGAAAAAAAAAGAAACAGAAGCAAGUUAAAUAAGCAAAAGCAAAAGUAGACAGAGACUAGCUAAUAAAUUGCAGCAGCUAAUGAAUAAUCUUCAAGCAUUAAAGAAGUCGAUAAGCAUGGAAACUGAAGCUUCAGAGUGAGGCAACACAAGUGAAUGAGAUUUCAUUGCUUGUAUGAAAGCAGAGACUUUCCCAGCGUCAAGAAAGUUAUUGCUGUGUUCUUUAGCUUCAACGGCCUGGCUGCUGCUGCUACUACUGCUGCUUGAUUCAACAACAUUAAUAAUAUUGUGGUGGCUGGAGCCAUUAUCAUUUCCCCAAAUGGUUAGACCCUUUUCACGCAGCUUGGCUAACUCACUUGUCCAUAUAUCCACAAGUGCAGACAUUAUUGUUGCUAAUUAAAUUUUGAAGAAGAUAUCUUGAGUUAAUGUUUUUGAUUGUAAGAUGUUUUGAGAUAUCAAGAUUUUGAUGGCUGAAUGGGGUUUAUAAAGGCUAUGAUCAAUUGUUGGUUUUGUUUCGAUUUUCAACGGCGCACAAAUUUUGUUGUAUAGAGCGAUCAAGUUCACACGUCUCUUUCCUGUGGGCAUUAGCCUUUAAGAUGAAGUAGUAAUUUAAAUAUGGAUCCCUCUAAGUUACAUGCAUGUACCUUACAACCCUCUCACAUAAAUAGUGAGUGAGAUACUAUUCAUGUGAGAGGGUUGUAAGGUACAUACAUGUAACUUAGCAUUAGCCUUUAAAUAUAUCAUUUUCGAUGGGGACAUGGGCAUGCCUCAAUACCGCAGCAAAGUUAGUGGUAUGUGUCAAUUUUAAAAUUGUAUAAUAAUUUCAAGAUAAUCAAAGUGGCUAAAACCAAUGUCAAUCACUCUCUUAAAUCCUAUGUGGGUUACAAAAUUCACUCCAUUUUCUUUUAAUAUAAUUGUUAGCGAAAAUAUUUCAAAAGGUUUCUUAGACUAUUACAUGAUGGGCACCCAAAAUCAAUUUCAAGUUUUGCCUAUAGAGUGAAACUUUUGAUAUCUUUUGAAAUCCUUAUAAAACUCUUCUAUUAAAACCUUAUUUAGUAUUAAAGUGUUAUAUUUUUUAAACUAUAAUUAUUGUAAAAAAAUUAUAACUUAAAAAUAAAAGUUAAUAUUGUAUCGUAAAUAUGAUUCACAAAUAGUGAAUCAAAUCAACUUUAUUUUUAAGCUACAAUAGUAAGUGCUGUAAUUUUUAAGCUAUUGCCCCCUAAUCUCUAAACCAAAUAAGGCCUAAGUGUGUUCCAUUAACGUUACAUAAGUAACCCACUCAUAAAUAUACCCAUUUUUAUUCUGCAAAUAUCCUUCAUUCUUAUGUCAACAGGUGAAAAUGAUUCUGAUUCUCUCUCCAUCCAUGUAAUAUUUUUAGAAAUAGUCGUCAAUCAAUCCUCACUUACACUAUAUUUGAACCAAUCGAAAUUGUGAGGCCCUCCUUUCCUUGCAUUAUCUGAUUUUUGGCAUCUCAUCUACCUAAGUCUUUUUUUUCUUUUUCUAUCCUUUUCCUUUAAUCAACGGAAAUUUUAAAAAAAGAAAAACGGGACGUUCACUGUUUUGUAAAGCAAUUUUCGAGGGUAAAAAUAUCAAUAUAUCUAGAAUUGGGACUUUAAAAGGAUUAUAGAGGGGUGGUAAUAGCACCACUCUUACCUAAAAUGAAUUAGGCCCAAUGGUUUCUCUCAUCCAAGAUCUUGUUUUAUUAUUAUUAAAAAGGCCUGGAAACCUUACCCGUGACAACCCCGUCACAAAAUUACCCUAUUACAGGAUUCUGCUAGCUACGUCCUGAUUUGUUUUCUAUCGAUCAUUCAGUGAACAAAUAAUUGAACACGUGUCCAAUGUUGGUGCCCAAAGUUGAAAUGAGGGCUAAUGAAUUUUCUUUUUAUCAGUUUUUUUAAUAUUCUUUCAUUGGGAUAACUAUAUUUAUUUAUUGUUAUUGCAUUUGUGAACAUUGCUUUAUUUUUUUUUCUUAUAAGUUAUGUGCUCUAUAAUCCCAUUCUAUUUCAUAUGACACGUGUUAAUUAAAUUUUCUCCUUAGGCAGAGUUUAGAUUUUGGUUUAGUUAAUGUUUUCAAUUAAAAUCAUUAAUGAUAAAAAUCUUAAGAUUCAAUGCGAAAAAAAUACUGCCUGUAUAUAUAUCUUCACAUAUUUGUGAACUCAUAAAAAUCUCUUUAACGUGAUAUUGCUUUUAAUUCCAUGCAAAUCAAAUUUUCUAGAUUAAAGUUUAUUCACAUCAAUGACAAAAAAUUAACUCUAUGAUUUAAUUUCCCCAUUACCAUGAUGUUUAUCUUUUCUAUCGGAUUAUUAUUACUUAACAAAGUCUUUAAAAUGUCGAUAUACAUUUUUCACCAGGGCAAAAUUUGUUCACUAGUAAGUGGUAAAAUUUAAUUUGAUUCAUGAUUUAGCUUCUUUUAGUUUGCUGAUUAAUUGUGCGAUUUCAACGAUGUUAAUUUUUUUUUUUCUCCAUUGAAACUCCAUCGUAGGAAUCAGAUGAAGAUUCUGUUUGAGAUUGAGAUACUGUAACUUUUAAGUUACAACUGUUAAGGAAAAAAAGCUGAAACUAUGAAAUAAAAAUUAGUAGUAUAUAGUAAACAUAAACUUUAAAUAAUAAUUUUGAAAAAAUUAUUAAAGAUAUAAUAGAUUUUCUAUCAUACAAGUAAAAAAUCAUAUUAAGUGAAAAAUCAUAUUAACAUAUCUUCAAAUCUAAAGCAGCUAAUGUUUAUCAAACACUUUAAUGCUGUAACUUUUAAGCUACAAUUGCCCAACCUUAAUUUCAAACGGAUCCGAAAUCAAUGAUAUCAAAUUGGCUACACAGCUUUCUGCUCUUGAUCUCAAUGUGGACGGAAAAAAGCAUGGAGAAGUUGCUAACUAAUAACUUUUUUUUGCUAAUUAAUAUUUUUUUUAGCUAAUGAAAACAUUAGCUAAUUAAUUAAUCAUUAUAUAUAUACAUGCAGUCACAGAUGAAAUGAAGAACUUGCUAGAGCUAUCAUAGAAAGCCUCAAAAUCAUCUUCAAAUUCAAAAGGCAGUGGAUUAUUGGAAAAUUAAGAUAAAUUUUUUGAUAAAUUGAAGAAUUUUUCACAAUUAAUUAUUAACUAAAAGUUAAUUUUACAUGAAAUUUUUGAAUGUAUGACUUCACAUUAAUUGAUUAUUCCACGUCUUGGUUCACGUCUAGAGAAGCUCAGGUACAAUAGAUUGUGAUGUUUGCAAUAAGGAGGUAAGUACAUAUAUAACAAAGACUGGUGGGGUCUAAGUGUCAUUUUCCUAAAAUUAAUUUGUUUCGGUUCAAAUUUCAACAAUACUAAAAUAUGGGCAAAAUUAUGUUGCAACAGUAGUAUGGUACCACAGUUGCAACCAGCCAUUGGAUUUAUAGUUGUACAAUUGUAUUAGCAAGAUCCAAUGGCUGAAAGCAACAAUGAUACUGUACCACUGUUGCAACAUAGCUGGACCCCUAAAAUAUUAUUACGUUUUCAAACAGUUAUAGCCAAGCAUGAAUUAUUGUGACCAUGAGCUUUGGAAUCUGCGUUUUUGCUACGACCAUUUUAGUGAUGGAAAAUGCUGAGUCUCAAGAAGAACAAGAGAAAGACGAGAGAAUGAAGCAUGUGCUGAGAGAAGAGAGAGAGAGAAAAAGCUGACAGAAGAGAGAGAGAGGAGGCAAAACGGCAGCUUGGAUUGUAGUUUCUCUCGUCUUUCUCUCGUUCUUCUUGAUAUUUAGCAGCACUCGAUGGGACUCAUGUCUGCUGCGGAUGCAUUUGAGUCUUAAUAAGUUGACGACUUAAAUUUGGGUGCAUUUGAUUGAAGAUGUAUGUAUGUAUGUAUGUAUAUAAAAGACGCAUAUACACUUCAAAAAUUUUUAAAAAUAAAAAAUGUUUCUAUUUUUGACUUCGUAUUAAAAGCAAAACAUAUACAAUAAAAUUUAAGAUUUAAAUCUUGUUCAUACCAAAGUUAAUUUUAAUAAAAAUAAAAUUCUCUAAGUAGUGUAGCGAUCGAAUUUACAAUAUUUUUAUCUAGGUGAUGGUCGAACAAUCAGGACUGGUUGUUAUUCUACAUCGAUCAAAUACACACAACCAAUUGAACCUCUUCUAAAUAAUGUGCUGCGAUGAAAAAGGCAUGAAAAUUGAGGAGCAAGUUCCCGUUUUCUCGGUUACAAGAAUUAAGAUGAGGAGACAUGCAAGUCAAGGCUUGGGGUAACUAUUUCAAUAUAUAUCAAUGAUUUUAUUCAUUUCUUUUUGCAUUAUUUUACGUGGAAAGAAUUUAAAGUCAUUAUAUUAAUUCAAUUAUGCCAAAAUAAAAAUCUAUUAUUGAGGUGUAAUACUUUUACAGGUUAACUAGAUUUUUUUCUUUUUUGGUCUUUACCGCAUAUAAAUGAUUUAUGAUUAAUGUUGCAGUCAAUACUAUUCUUUCUUUUCUUGUUUAGCAUCCUUGUGGAUUCUAUUCCGAAUUAAAGUAUUUAUUUAAAACUGAAUUAUAUAUGUAUUGACCUCUUACUUUCAUUAAAAGAGAAAAAAAAUUGAAUUAGUAUUUCGAUAUUUGGAGCUAAUACUUGCAUAUGUUUGUAUAUAUUUUGCUCUAAAUGAAGGAAAUAUUUUCGAAAUUUACUUAAACCAUUAUCUACUACUUGUGGAAACAGCCUAUUCAUCCAAAUGCCAUUGUAUUUGGACUAACUCAUGUACUUCCAUAUGGUAGUGUCGAUCUCCGAAGCGCAAGUAACUUUAUCAAUUUAUUUUUUCUUUAAUUUCUUGAAAAUGGUAUACAUAUGUAGAUGUCAUCUUAUUCAAAUGCUUGUAAACGAACUUGAAUUGAAACCAUAAAAAAAAAAAAAAAACAAUGUUACUUGAUAACAAUCAAAUGAUGCUUUGGAUUAACUUUUCUUGCAUUUAAUAAUGCUCCCUCAUUUUGUCGAGGUAACUUUUUUUUUGAAAAAAUGUUACGUGGGUUUAGCAAAGAAUUAAAUAAAAGGAUGAUAUAAAAAAAUGAGACAGAGAAUUUACGUGAUUUAGCACUUGGUUUAUGUCCAUGAGUACUAUAAAAAGAGUAAUUUUUCACUAUUGAAUUAAAAUUAUAACAAAGUAUUUUUUUUUUUGGUCUAACUACUUGCUCGUGCCCCCUUAUGCAUCAAGUGUUCUUUAUUUAUAAUACAAUUCCAAUUUCCUGAGUUCUCCACGAUUCCUUGUUUUGAUCGGCUUUUAUUACUUAAUUUAGAGUAUCGUCCAAUAUCAGUAUUAUCUCCAUCUAAACUUGAGCUUUAUCUAAUAUUAAUACUUAUUUUCAGCACUUUCUCCCUUUUUAAUUGGGUUUAGGUUUCAGGAGCUUGUAGAUUCUUUUACUAGUCUUAGAUAAUGCUUCCAACUACCUAAUCCUAAUUGUUGGAUUCAGUAGCUAGGCAUUUUUUUAAUUAUACUCACCUCCCAUAGUUGAUCUCUCAUGCUAUCAUGUACCCGAGCUUAAUUGACUUUUUAAGCUUCCUAUUGAGCUUGCAUGCUCCCAUUCUCACAUGCUCUUAUGCUCAUGUGCUCGCAUGCUCACAUGCUCUCAUACUCUCGUACUCUCAUGAAGCUCAGUUUAAUUGACUUAUUAAGCUUCCUAUUGAGCUUGCAUCUCUCAUGGUCUCAUGCUUUCAUGCUCUAAUGCUAGCAUGCUUAUAUGCUCUCAUGCUUUCAUGUAGUUGAGCUUAAUUGACUUAUUAAGUUUUCUAUUGAGCUCUCCUGCUCCCAUGCUCACUUGCUCUCAUAGUCUCAUGCUCACAUUAUUUGACUGGUUACAUUUCUUCUUAGAACAAUAUUAAAAUAUAAUUUUUAUUUUAUUUUAAUUGAAUCCGUAUUUUAAAAGAUGUGGACAAUUCUUAUUAUAAGAUAACCGCUAGAUUAAUAUUAGCACCGCAAUCCUAACGUCACCGGAAUAAUUUCACAUGCGUUAAAAUGUGGGAAAGUAAGAGAAAUCUUUAAAAUCCUGCGGUUUUAAAGUGUUAAUUUCAUAAUGUUUUAAAACCGUGCGAUUUUAAAAUUUUCUCGUACUUUCUCGCAUUUUAAAUUCUGGACUAGGAAACUACUAUAUAUAUAUGUGAGUGUGUGUAUGCAUAUAUAUACAUAAAAUUCUUCACUAGGGGAAGACACACACACACACACACACAAGCUCUUCACUAAGGGGAAGACAAGUUAUUUUGGAGGAAAAGGAUUAUCAAGUAACUGGACGCAAAGCGCGACAACAAUGGCUCUAUAUGGUUUGCCCAUGUAAAUACUAUAUCCGUCUUAACUUUACUAAUUUAACCUUAACUAAGUUUUUUUGAAGUGUAUAUAUAAUUGUCAUCGUACAGACAAUUAAUUAAUUGAAUGUUUGUAAAAUGUACUCGAUAUUUCAUUAUUUUAAUUUUUGAGAAUCAAACUUACAGGUACAUGACCGGCGGGGUUUUGGCUCAUGAAAUGAUGCAUGCAUGGUUUGGAAUUCAAGGUCAGACUUAAUAAUAUUAUUAUUAACUUCAUAGCAACUAGGGGUUCAGCUAAUAUGACAUAGAAAGCAUAUAGGAUAGAAUAUAGGAAUUCUAGAUUUUGUGUCAAUUUUCUAUUUUAUUAGGAUUUAUCUUAUUUUAAUAAGCUUAUUUGAGUCAUAUUUGUAAUUCUAGUCUAAUUAGAAUUUUAGAUUAUUUCUUUCAUUUGAGAAGUAUUGGGAUGAAGUUAGCAAUAAAAAUAUAUAGGCUUGUUAUUAAUAGUUUAUUGUAACAUUUUUAAGCUUUUCAUCAAGAAAUAUUUUAGAUUAUUCUCCUUGAGUUUAUCUUUUUCGUUAAUUCAACGUUUUCUCUCUUUGAGAGCUAUUAUUUCUUGAGUUUCAAAAACGUAUAAUAGAACGAUAUCCAAUGUCGGUUUCAGACAAGUGGCAUCAGGGCCUUUCUCUAUGUCAAGCUGCGCUUUCAUGAUCAUCAACUACAUACACAAAUCCUUCCUCUGUCAUCCAUUAAAUCCACCGAUUCCACCAAUUCCUAUAUGCUUCCUACAUCAUAAUGAAAUGAUGCAUGCAUGGUUUGGAAUUUAAGGUCAGCCUUAAUAAUAUUAUUAUUAGCUUCAUAGCAACUAGGGGUUUAUCUAACGAAAUGAUGCAUUCAUGGUUUGGAAUAAUCCAAGGUCAGCCUUAAUAAUAUUAUUAUUCGCUUCAUAGCAUCUAGGGUUUAAGCUAAUGAAAAAAUGAUGCAUGCAUGUUUUGGAAUUCAAGAUUAGCCUUAAAAAUAUUAUUAUUAGCUUCAUAGCAACUAGGGUUUAAGCUAAUGAAAGAUGCGUGCAUGGUUUGGAAUUCAAAGUUAGCCUUAAAAAUAUUAUUAGUUUCAUAGCAACUAGGGGUUUAUCUAACAAAAUGAUGCAUUCAUGGUUUGGAAUAAGUGAAGGUCAGCCUUAAUAAUAUUAUUAUUAGCUUCAUAGCAACUAGGGUUUAUGCUAAUGAAAAAAUGAUGCAUGCAUGGUUUGGAAUUCAAGGUUAGCCUUAAAAAUAUUAUUAUUAGCUUCGUAGGGUUUAAGCUAAUGAAAUGAUGCAUGCAUGGUUUGGAAGUCAAGGUCAGCCUUAUAAUUAUUAUUAACAUUUAUUAGCUUAGUAACCAUUAAAUUCGAUUCCUCUCUAUCAUUACUUGCCCCGACUCUUUCUCUCUCAAUCUGUGAAUCUCUCAUCAUGUCGACGACUCUGCAAUUCUGCCGUCUAUGCACGCGUACUGACACAGCUUCGCGCCAUAAUAAUCGCGCCAGAGUGCUGGCUCUCCGGCGCCGGCAGCCUGUGAACGUCAGAAGCUCCGGUCAAGAAUUGCCGAGCUCGGCGGUGGCUGUUGGUGCCCAAUUUGACGCGAAACAAUUUCGUCAUAACCUGAUGAGAAGUGAUAAGUAUAAUCGGAGAGGAUUUGGCCACAAAGAAGAGACUACGGAGCUCAUGAAUCAACAGUACGCAAGUAAGAUUUUCAUUUUUUUCUGUUUAAAUCAAUUUUUUUACUGGAUUUUCUUUUGUUUAUUCAGUAGGACAUGAAAUUGUUGUUACUUAAAUUUCUUUAUUUUAGCUAAUUAUUCAGCUUAGUUUUAAAUGGAUAGAUUCAGGAAUAAAAAUAAAAAUAAAAAAUCAAAGAAAUUUGUGUGAUUUUUACUUCCUCUGCUUGCUAUUCAAUGACCUUUUUUUUUUGGUUUUUACCAUUUCAUUUAAGAAAGCUGGAUCAAUCAAUGAUUUAUCUUUUGUUGGACUCAUCAUCAGUUUGUGAAUAACAAAUGUUUAGAGAGAUUUGGUGAAAUCAAGUGUUUCUAUUUGGCGUUGGUGUUAUUGUGGUGAUGAUUAUUUUAUUGAUUUCAUUGAAAAUUCUUUCAGGUGAUAUUAUAAAGAAAUUGAAGGAGAAUGGAUACGAGUAUACGUGGGGAAAUGCUACGGUGAAGCUGGCCGAAGCAUAUGGCUUUUGCUGGGGAGUUGAGCGUGCUGUGCAGAUUGCUUAUGAAGCAAGAAAACAGUUUCCCGAUGAGAAGAUCUGGAUCACCAGUGAAAUCCUUCACAGUCCACCCAUCAAUAAGGUCUUUAAAAAACAAAACCAAUACUUCUUUUAUAAUAUUUUUAAUUUAAAUAUUUUUGCGCCCUGCUGUUUGUUAAGUUGAUCAUUUACUCAUUUUCAUGGUUAUGGAUUGUAAAGAGUAGAUCUGUAUUGAUGAAACUGUUACGCUCUUUGUUUCAAUCAUGAUUUGAUUCUUUCAUUACUAUAUCCUACUAAAAUGAUUACUGAGGCUCUUAAGUCAUACAUGGCAGCGGUUGGAGGAGAUGGAAGUUAAAAAUAUACCUGUUGAGGAAGGAAAGAAGCAAUUUGAUGUGGUAAAUAAGGGUGAUGUUGUGGUUUUGCCUGCAUUUGGGGCUGCAGUCGAA
This 28520-nucleotide long non-coding RNA is filed under the name Citrus x clementina. Its description in RNAcentral is "Citrus clementina (C. clementina) long non-coding RNA (CCLE_LNC000793)". Lineage: Eukaryota; Viridiplantae; Streptophyta; Magnoliopsida; Sapindales; Rutaceae. The record is from RNAcentral.